GGCGAGGAAAUUCCACUAAUAUCAAAAGGAGAUUACAAAUAGAGUUUUAACUCUCAAACCCAAAUCUCACAUACAACCAAUAGCUCUCACUUAAACUAAGAAACAAAUGGAGAAGAAGAAACACAUAUCAAAAUCCUUCUCUCCAAAAGCUACACAAGUAGCACCAACAUCUUUGAUUGAGUGAUUACUAACAAAAUGGGAUUAUUACAAAUGGUGGGAAUGAGCAGCUCAUAUUCAAAUGGGAGAACCGAAUGCUCUCCCUGGUUUCUCUCAUCUGCCGCUCCCUACACUUUUCUUCUCUUGGCUUCUCCUCAAACAUAUAGCAGCUGCUGCUGCCUUAGAAAAUACCAAAAGAAAAGCUCUUUUGUCAAGUUGCAAAGGAAGGAGCCGAAUAAACCAAUAAAAAUCCAAAGUAAAGGAAUAAUCAUUCCUUUACAAACAUCAUCAUACCCUUCCUUUUUCUUUUCAACAAACAUCAUCAUUGUGUUUUUAGUCAUGAUGAUGUCCACCAAACUUUUCUUUGUUUAAUAGUUGAAAGGAGAGUUGGCUUGUUGUCCACUUGGCCACUAAUUUGGCCACUAAUUUGGCCACUAUCCAACAAUCUCCACCUUGGCCAAAUUCCGAAAACAUCACAGAGAAUCGAAUCAACAAUCACCAUAAGCACCAAAGUACAAACUAAAGACAACGGGAACUAAAUCAAAUUCUCCAAACUUUCGGUACUCAUAAUGAUCUCCACCUCGACUCAAAUUUUACCAAAGCCAACAAAAGUAGAGCAUUUCUCUACCGUCUUCUCUAAAUUUGCAAACCAUAAGUGCCUUGAUCAAAACAAAAGGUGAUUCAAACGAAGAACUGAAAUUCUUCAAUAUCACCGACAAAAGAUCAAGCACACCAUACCAAAGUUGGACAUACAACGAACUCCACCUGCUCACAAACACCAUGGUCUGAAACUGCACCAAUAGACUCAUUCACAUAGCAUGGCACAUUCUCCAAGUCAAAACUGAUUACAAAUUUGGCAACAAAGUCUCACAUACCACAUACAAAAAAUAUGCCCUUCACUCAAGUUUACCAUCAUCACAUAAGCACCAACAGGACAACCAAAAAUUUCAAAUUCAAAUAAUCAGUAGGAGAUCCAAAACCAUACCUCAACUGGAGUCUUCAAGAAAACUAAUUGCAGAUGAUGGAGACCAACAAACCAAAUAGCAGUGGCAAACAAAUCCAACCAAAUGUACAUAAACCAAACAAAGUUAGAAAGCAUAUAAUUUGCCUUCUACAAGAGGGUUCCACACAAAUGUUCUGCAGUGCAUGUGGUGUAUCCAAAAUAGUGUGGUGCCUCACUAUCCAAACUUGCAGAACUCAACAAAUUGGCCCUCACAAACUCCUCCAAUGUUUCCAUCAACUUGCUCCAAAGGCAACUAGUGGGAGUGAAAAAAAACUUCUCUAUCGUUGAAAAAAUGCCAAAGAGAAGAAAACUUAGCCUUAGCCUUUUUCCCUUUUCUUUCAGCCAACAACAUCAUUUGCCAUCAUGAUGUCCUUCUGCCAAAACAAAUGCCGAAAGAAAAAGAACCAACAUUUUCUUUUCAAUUUUCAACUGCUUCUACCUUUUCUCCUUCCCACUCAACUCGUCGACAACAUCCCACAAACACCUCCGGUGCAGCGAUGACCAACGGAGAACCCACCAAAAGCAGUACACUACACCUCCAUCUCCAAUUGACCAAAUGCCAAAGUCAUUCCUCCUGUCGAAUUUUUUCAAAAAAACAUAUUUCACCGUCAUUCGAAUAUUUCAUAGACAUACUAGUACAAAGCCUCCAAGUCGAAACCCAGAGCUCUGAUACCACUUGUUGUGCGGAAGCGUCAAAUAUGAAACCAAUAAGCUACAACGGCAAAAUAUGACAAGACAAAUAAUCCAAAAGACACAAGGAUUUAUACUGGUUCGGCAUAAGCCUACAUCCAGUUCCGAAACGGCGAGGAAAUUCCACUAAUAUCAAAAGGAGAUUACAAAUAGAGUUUUAACUCUCAAACCCAAAUCUCACAUACAACCAAUAGCUCUCACUCAAACUAAGAAACAAAUGGAGAAGAAGAAACACAUAUCAAAAUCCUUCUCUCCCAAAAGCUACACAAGUAGCACCAACAUCUUUGAUUGAGUGAUUACUAACAAAAUGGGAUUAUUACAAAU
Molecule: long non-coding RNA, 2173 nt
Filed under: Malus domestica (apple)
Lineage: Eukaryota; Viridiplantae; Streptophyta; Magnoliopsida; Rosales; Rosaceae
Description: long non-coding RNA (MDOM_LNC014728)
Source: RNAcentral